Molecule: ribosomal RNA, 459 nt
Filed under: uncultured bacterium
Lineage: Bacteria
Description: partial 16S ribosomal RNA
Rfam family: Bacterial small subunit ribosomal RNA
Source: RNAcentral
CCUACGGGUGGCUGCAGUGAGGAAUAUUGGUCAAUGGCCGAGAGGCUGAACCAGCCAAGUCGCGUGCGGGAUGAAUGCCCUACGGAUUGUAAACCUCUUUUGCCCGGGGGUAACGCCCUCCACGUGUGGAGGUCGGAGGGUACCUUACGAAUAAGGGUCGGCUAAUUCCGUGCCAGCAGCCGCGGUAAUACGGAGGACGCGAGCGUUAUCCGGAUUUAUUGGGCUUAAAGGGUGCGUAGGCGGGUGAUCAAGUCAGCGGUAAAAUCGCGGAGCUCAACUCCAUCCAGCCGUUGACACUGGUGAUCUUGAGUGGACGAGAGGCAGGCGGAAUGCGUGGUGUAGCGGUGAAAUGCAGAGAUAUCACGAAGAACUCCGAUUGCGAAGGCAGCAUACCGGGGCCCGACUGACGCUGAGGCACGAAGGUGCGGGUAUCAAACAGGAUUAGAUACCCUGGUAGUC